Molecule: ribosomal RNA, 456 nt
Filed under: uncultured bacterium
Lineage: Bacteria
Description: bacterial SSU rRNA
Rfam family: Bacterial small subunit ribosomal RNA
Source: RNAcentral
GACGAACGCUGGCGGCGUGCUUAACACAUGCAAGUCGAACGGUAAGGCCCUUCGGGUACACGAGUGGCGAACGGGUGAGUAACACGUGGUGAUCUGCCCUGCACUUCGGGAUAAGCCUGGGAAACUGGGUCUAAUACCGGAUAGGACCAUGGACUUCACGGUUUGUGGUGGAAAGCUUUUGCGGUGUGGGAUGGGCCCGCGGCCUAUCAGCUUGUUGGUGGGGUAAUGGCCUACCCAAGGCGACGACGGGUAGCCGGCCUGAGAGGGUGUCCGGCCACACUGGGACUGAGAUACGGCCCAGACUCCUACGGGAGGCAGCAGUGGGGAAUAUUGCACAAUGGGCGCAAGCCUGAUGCAGCGACGCCGCGUGAGGGAUGACGGCCUUCGGGUUGUAAACCUCUUUCAAUAGGGACGAAGCGCAAGUGACGGUACCUAUAGAAGAAGCACCGGCCAACU